GAUCUUUUAGUAUAAGCGAGUAUGUUCAAUUUCCAAUUAAGUGGUUUCGAAGAUUA
Molecule: transfer RNA, 56 nt
Filed under: Gnathostoma doloresi
Lineage: Eukaryota; Metazoa; Nematoda; Chromadorea; Rhabditida; Gnathostomatidae
Description: tRNA-Gly
Source: RNAcentral